CUUAAACAAAACAGACCGUGAAUGUGUCAUCCAUGCCGCCGGGCUACAGCCCAGCCAAGGGCCCCACYUCCGUUCCGGAGAAGCGGGACCGCAAAAGAACCCACGGCGCCGAAGGCAUCAAGGAACACUGAUAUUGCCUUGUUCGGGGCCGUGGCCGGCCUGCCGGCCGUGACCCUUGCAGCGAUUCUAUCUAUAAGCAAAAUGACUYUCGGCAACGGAUAUCUUGGCUCUCGCGUUGAUGAAGAACGUAGCAAAAUGUGAUACCUGGUGUGAAUUGCAGAAUCCCACGAAACCAACGAGUUUUUGAAUGCAAGUUGCGCCCGAGGCCCUCUAGUCGAGGGCACGCCUGCUUAGGCAUCACGUUAAAAGACACUCCCAAACCCAUCCUUGGGGGUGGGAUGUGGUGUUUGGCUCCCCCUGCCGCAUGGCACGGUGGGCCAAAGUUGGGGCUGCCGGCAUACGUGCCAGGCACAGCACGUGGUGGGCGAUGUCAAGUUGUUCUCGGGGCAGCGCCCCGGCUCGUGUUAGCCGGCCUAUCGGCCCUAUGGACCCAUCGAUCGUAGCGCUCUGCCGCUCGGACCGCAACCUAG
Molecule: unclassified non-coding RNA, 590 nt
Filed under: Neurachne munroi
Lineage: Eukaryota; Viridiplantae; Streptophyta; Magnoliopsida; Poales; Poaceae
Description: sequence contains ITS1, 5.8S rRNA gene and ITS2
Rfam family: 5.8S ribosomal RNA (bases 204-360)
Source: RNAcentral